GACUUUUUAUUUCACCCUUAUCUCUUUCUUUUUUUUAAUUCCUUCGCACGCCAUGGCAGCCGAACCUUUCCCCUCACGCCUUCUGCUUUCUUUGAUUCUUUUUCUUGGACCGAAGCAAACCCACGGAAGCUGCCCCAUGAUUCCUCUUCUUCUCUGCCAUGCCGCACUCACCCAUGCCUCAUCCCCACCGAAACUGAAUUUUCUUCCCUGUAGCUCACCCACGUAUUUCAUUUGGUCAGCAAAUCAGUAACUUCUUCUCGUGGUUGACUCCAGCAGCGACGGAAAGGAUUCCUCCGAGAGACCUCACGUCCCGCGAGCCCCCGCAGCUGCAACUCAGUCCGGUUCCGGGUCGUUCCAUCACCGCGGCCACCGAAUCCAGUCAAACCGUGUCCAUUCAGCCGCUCGAUUCAUCCCUGCAGAAUCGAUUCAGCAAGGUCAGAAGCUUGGGAGCAGAAAACCCAGCUCAAACAGCGAGCCUGUAGGCCGAUUUCGGCCUCGGUUUGGCCCUGCUUGGCGGUUCUGCUUUGAGGUUUAUUGGCCCUCGUCGCGUGCUUCGUCAUUUUGAUCCGGGCAGAUCUUUAAUCAGGGCAACCGGGGAUCGUACCAACCCAAUGGGUUCGAUGAUGAGCGAGGUCAGUUAAGAAAGGCAAGCAAUGAGGGUCAAGUGGGGUGAGCAUCGAACAGAAUAAGCAUCGAAUGUCGAGCGGGGAGAAACAAGCCAAGCGAGCAUCGAGCAACGAGCAACACCAGUGACCCAAAGCAUGCGAGGUGAGUGUCGAGUGGUGAGUGGAGAAAUUGUUUUUUUCGAUUUUGAAAAAUUGAAGACUAAGAGGACAAAUAAGAUAGAACAGAACGGAUACUAGAGAAGGAUGUCAUAAGGUGUCUUUUUGGAUGCCGUGAGGAUUUCUCACAAAAAUAUUUUCCUCAUUCGUAAAUUAUGACUAUUGACAUUAUAAAAGACAUGAAAAAUCUAAGGUAUUAAAGAACAAUGUAAAAUUACUUAAACUCUUCACUAAAGAGCCGUUUAAUGUUGUUAAUGCCGUUUAUUUUAAAAAAAAUUAUAUAUAAAAAAAUUAUAUAUAUAGUCAAGGUUUACCUUACCAAAAUAUUUAUAUAUAGUUAGGAUUGGUUCAGGUUAGAUUGACUCGGAACUCUUAGGACCGAAGACCGACCCACACAGUGCUGGUCUAGGAAUUUCCAGGAUCAAGGACCAACCCAAUCUCCCUAAGAACCGGACCAGAACUGGUAGGAUUGAGCCAGUCCAAGGUUAGUCCAGGGUUGACCCUGGACCGAUGCUCACCCCUAGAAUGGACGACAUGCCAUAACAGCUUGGUGACUCAACAUGUCAUUUUGUAAAAUGUACGUUAUGAUGAAUAUACUCGGCGACUCUUUAUGUCAUUUUGUAGAAUGGACGGUAUGCAAUACCGGCUCGGUGACUCUAUAUGUCAUUUUGAAGAAUGGACGGUAUUUAAUGUCGGCUCGAUUACCCUAUAGGUCAUUUUGUAGAAUGGACGACAUGACAUAACGGCUUGGUGACUCAACAUGUCAUUUUACAGAAUGUACGUUAUGAUGAAUAUGCUUGGUAACUUAUUAUGUCAUUUCGAAGAAUGAAUUGUAUAAUACUAGCUUGGUAACCUGAUAGGUUAUUUUAAAGAAUGGACAAUAUUGAUUGAAAUGACUAAGAAUGGUAUGUUUGAAAUGUAAAUUGACUAGGUCGAUUGACUGAUGUUUUGAUUGGUGCCGUUUGAUUAGGUGCCUGUUUGAACUGUACUAAUUUGUAGGUGGAAUCUGAGGCCAAGGUAAGCCCUCUCACUCAUGUGUGCUUAAGCAGCCCAUAGUGUAUUGGUUUAUUAAUCGGGUCUUAGGGAGUAGAACUUGCUAAGAUGUUGUCUCACUAGUUAUUGAAUAACCAUUUUCAGGUCCUUAGACGACAUUGGUGAAGGACUGGAGGCUCGAAGUGUGGAAGGAGAAGCCUGAAGAAUUGAUGAUCCUAUUGGACUAACUAGUCAUAGGGCAAUUCUCUUUUGUUAGAAGUCGAUUCCAUUUUGUAGACUCUGUUAUAUAAACUUGUGGUUUAAACUUGACUUAACAAUUCGACUUGUAUAUAUUUACACUAUGUUGGGCAAUGCAUAUAAGUGUGGAUGCUUUUAAAGUCGAAA
Long non-coding RNA from Eucalyptus grandis, 2159 nucleotides. RefSeq lists it as uncharacterized. The record is from RefSeq and is a predicted model, not a curated record. The transcript is spliced from 2 exons. NCBI's taxonomy places the organism in Eukaryota, Viridiplantae, Streptophyta, Magnoliopsida, Myrtales, Myrtaceae.